Molecule: ribosomal RNA, 459 nt
Rfam family: Bacterial small subunit ribosomal RNA
GACGAACGCUGGCGGCGUGCUUAACACAUGCAAGUCGAACGGAAAGGCCCUUCGGGGUGCUCGAGUGGCGAACGGGUGAGUAACACGUGGGUGAUCUGCCCUGCACUUUGGGAUAAGCCUGGGAAACUGGGUCUAAUACCGAAUAGGACCGCGCUCUUCAUGGGGUGUGGUGGAAAGCUUUUGCGGUGUGGGAUGGGCCCGCGGCCUAUCAGCUUGUUGGUGGGGUAAUGGCCUACCAAGGCGACGACGGGUAGCCGGCCUGAGAGGGUGACCGGCCACACUGGGACUGAGAUACGGCCCAGACUCCUACGGGAGGCAGCAGUGGGGAAUAUUGCACAAUGGGCGCAAGCCUGAUGCAGCGACGCCGCGUGAGGGAUGACGGCCUUCGGGUUGUAAACCUCUUUCAGUACCGACGAAGCGCAAGUGACGGUAGGUACAGAAGAAGGACCGGCCAACUAC